RNAcentral lists this ribosomal RNA (485 nucleotides) under uncultured bacterium. Its description in RNAcentral is "partial 16S ribosomal RNA". It matches the Rfam family "Bacterial small subunit ribosomal RNA", at positions 28 to 507 of the family's 1533-position model. The record is from RNAcentral.
GAUGAACGCUAGCGAUAGGCUUAACACAUGCAAGUCGAGGGGCAGCGAGGGCAGCAAUACCUGUCGGCGACCGGCGCACGGGUGAGUAACGCGUAUGUAACCUGCCCGCAACAGGGGGAUAACCCGGCGAAAGUCGGACUAAUACCGCAUAAAACAGGGGUCCCGCAUGGGAAUAUUUGUUAAAGAUUUAUCGGUUGCGGAUGGGCAUGCGUACCAUUAGGUAGUUGGUGAGGUAACGGCUCACCAAGCCUUCGAUGGUUAGGGGUUCUGAGAGGAAGGUCCCCCACACUGGUACUGAGACACGGACCAGACUCCUACGGGAGGCAGCAGUGAGGAAUAUUGGUCAAUGGGCGAGAGCCUGAACCAGCCAAGUCGCGUGAAGGAUGACUGCCCUAUGGGUUGUAAACUUCUUUUACAAGGGAAUAAAAUGAGAUACGUGUAUUUUAUUGCAUGUACCUUGGGAAUAAGCAUCGGCUAACUCCGUG